This 539-nucleotide ribosomal RNA is filed under the name uncultured bacterium. Its description in RNAcentral is "bacterial SSU rRNA". It matches the Rfam family "Bacterial small subunit ribosomal RNA", at positions 777 to 1329 of the family's 1533-position model. The record is from RNAcentral.
AAUAGAUACCCGGGUAGUCCACGCCGUAAACGAUGGAUACUAGCUGUUGGAGGUAUCGACCCCUUCAGUAGCGAAGCUAACGCGUUAAGUAUCCCGCCUGUGGAGUACGGUCGCAAGACUAAAACAUAAAGGAAUUGACGGGGACCCGCACAAGCGGUGGAUCGUGUUCUUUAAUUCGAUGCUAAACGAAGAACCUUACCAGGGUUUGACAUCCCUUGAAUUAAUCCGAAAGGAUUGAGUGCUUUAUUGAACAAGGUGACAGGUGAUGCAUGGCCGUCGUCAGCUCGUGUCGUGAGAUGUUUGGUUAAGUCCAUCAACGAGCGCAACCCUUGCAAGUAGUUGUAUUUUUCUACUUGGACUGCCCCGGUAACGGGGAGGAAGGAGGGGAUGAUGUCAGGUCAGUAUUUCCCUUACAUCCUGGGCUAGAAACACGAUACAAUGGCUAGUACAAUGCGCAGCGAAGCCGCGAGGUGAAGCAAAUCGCAUCAAAGCUAGUCCCAGUUCGGAUUGGAGGCUGAAACUCGCCUCCAUGAAGUCGG